Varanus komodoensis (Komodo dragon) is the source of this 156-nucleotide long non-coding RNA. RefSeq lists it as uncharacterized. Lineage: Eukaryota; Metazoa; Chordata; Lepidosauria; Squamata; Varanidae. The transcript has 2 exons. The record is from RefSeq and is a predicted model, not a curated record.
UUUUGAUGGUUGCAUUGGGCUUGGAAUGGGAAGAGAUGUUUUGCUGUGCAAAAAAGCCAACUCUGGGAGGGUUUUUAAAAAAUCGCAUUGUUUUCAAUGGAACAAUCGCCCUAUAUUAGGGUUAGGGAUUUUCACCAGGCUAGGGUUAGGGUUGGA